RNAcentral lists this ribosomal RNA (426 nucleotides) under uncultured Stenotrophomonas sp. Its description in RNAcentral is "bacterial SSU rRNA". It matches the Rfam family "Bacterial small subunit ribosomal RNA", at positions 356 to 774 of the family's 1533-position model. The record is from RNAcentral. Lineage: Bacteria; Pseudomonadati; Pseudomonadota; Gammaproteobacteria; Lysobacterales; Lysobacteraceae.
GGGGAAUAUUGGACAAGGGGCGCAAGCCGGAUCAAGCCAUACCGCGGGGGGGAGGAAGGCCUUGGGGUGGUAAGGCCCUUUGGUUGGGAAAGAAAUCAAGCUGGCUAAUACCCGGUGGGAAUGCCGUAACCCAAAGAAUAACACCCGCCAACCUCGGUGCCAGCAGCCGCGGUAAUACGAAGGGUGCAAGCGUUACUCGGAAUUACUGGGCGUAAAGCGUGCGUAGGUGGUCGUUUAAGUCCGUUGUGAAAGCCCUGGGCUCAACCUGGGAACUGCAGUGGAUACUGGACGACUAGAGUGUGGUAGAGGGUAGCGGAAUUCCUGGUGUAGCAGUGAAAUGCGUAGAGAUCAGGAGGAACAUCCAUGGCGAAGGCAGCUACCUGGACCAACACUGACACUGAGGCACGAAAGCGUGGGGAGCAAACA